GGUGGUACCGAAAUCAGUCAAUAGUAAUCAUAGUAGGAAGAGUAUUGUAAAAGGCAGAAGUCAGAGACAAAAUCUUCAAGUUUUACUGAACUGGUCAGAUCUUAAGCUUCUGUUUUUAUUUUUAUUGAACACUCAAUCACAAUUUCUAAAAUGUUUAUCUUUUUUCCAAUUAUUAUACUACUUUCCUUUAUAUUUCUUUAAACAUUAAGAAAUUGACUUUAUGACCAGACUGUAACUAGUAUGUUAUAUGAAAUUUUUAAAUUAUAAAGCAUACCCUAUACUGAAUCCAAGCUUGAAACCAUCAGCCAGAGGUUUAUGCCUACAAAAGAACAGUUUUCAUUGGCUAGAUGAGAAAACAGUUUGAUUGACAGUUUUGGAGGAACGGUUUUUAAAAAAUAUGACUGCCAAAUGUGUGUAUAUUUGAAAUAUUACAUUGAAGGAAUUCAGUGACUCUAGCUGGUGAAUUUCCAGCUGGAGAAGAAUGUUAAGUGAAAUAGUCAAAAAAUAGUUAUAAGUAAAAUCCAUCACAAACCCAUCAUUUCACAUUGGGCCAUUAAUCUUCAGCAAGAGGCCAACUGUGAAUCACAUGAAUAUUUGGAUGUGAGAAGGCAUCAUCUAUAACACCCAGUGUUAAUAGAAAACCGUCAGGCCCAUGCUCAAUUGCCCACUGGUGAUGCCCAUUGAUCUGUUCUCAUGGCAAGACAAAGACUUAUGAAUUCUGGGCACCGCUUUGAAGCAGGUCUCUAUGUGCUGCCCCUCAGACACCUUCAAGAAAUUCAUCAAAUGCUAGCUAUUUUUAGUUUCAGAUGGUUUAGUCCUUUCCAAAUUGGAUACUGGGGAAGGGAUAUAUAAGAUUAACGAGGGACCUCAGUUGAUACUGAAGCGCUGAAAACUGAACAGCAGAACAGAGAUGUAUUUACUUUGGACUCUAUCUCAUGUCCAAUCCCUAAAGUGAGAAAUACAAACCAAAUAUAGUGAGAUCUAUUAGUAGUUAAUUAACACUGACCAGCAGAAUUCAACAUCUUCUUUGUGAGGCAUAUCAACUUAAAGCAUGGGGAAUGGCAUAUACUGUGAAAUUUCCAGAAUUAAUCUUCAGUCCAUACAUGGCAAUGAUUAAUUUCGUUUAAAGCAAACAUUUUCAUUGGCUAUUUUUAGAAAAAGAAAUUUAAUGUGAAAGGAACGGAGGACCAUUUUACAAUGUCUACACGCCAAGGGAACCAAACCAAACUCAUCCCAUUAAAGAAAAGCAUAAGAGGUUUGCGGAAAAGGAAGUUUGAGGAUCACUGCAAAUAUGUGUAAAUGAGUGGGGACAGGCACAGAGAGGCUUACAAAGUUUGGAACAAGUGGCCCACCACUCAUUAUUUCCAUCUGCAGAACCCCAAGAAUAAAAUCACCCAUUGUCCUAACGAAAUCUUACUAAAACUGACAUAGUAAAUAAAAUGAUCAUCAUGAAUAGCUUUUCUCCAGUUGUGUGUGAGGCGAUGUGCACAUGAUCUGAUGACUAUUACGUGAUGCUAAACGUUUGUGGUGACAUCACAAGGUCAGGUUGCUAUGAGAAAGCAUCAUAGACAGAAUGGCUUGAAUGAUGUAGGUUUAUCGCUCACAGUUCUGGAGGGGGUAAGUCUGAGAUGGUGGUGCCAACACCGUCAGGUUCUAGUUAGGACUCUCACCUGCAUUGCAGAUGGCUGACUUGUCAUCAUACCCUCACAUGGUGGAAAGAUGAGUGAGCCAGCUCUCUGGCCUCUUCUAAAGUCACUAAUCCCACUCAUGAGAACUUCACCCUCAUGACCUAACUAUCUCUCAAAGGCCCCCAUUAUAUUGGAGAGGUAAUGGUGGUUCCAACAUAGGGACACAAAUAUUCGCUCUAUAACAUAGCUAUUGGUCCAAGAGAGAAACAGAGACAAAAAUGUACUAGAACCAAAGAGAAAAUCAAAGGGAAAAAUGUGAAUUAGAGCAAAGGCAGUAGAGCAAGAAUGUUGAUAUUUGUUCCUACACACAGAAAAUAAGGAAGAAUUUAGUCAACCAAGAAGAAACUGCUAGAGGAAUGACUUUUGGAGUUUGACCCUGGGUUGAAGGGUAAGGAACGAGAAUUGAUUUUUGCUCUUCCUUUAGAAUUCCUUAGAAUUCAGGAUGAAGAACAACUAGGUCAGUUUUGUUUCUCAUUGAAACUAAGCUUGUAGGUGCAGAGAUAAUAGUGUUAUUUUAAUUUAUCCAUUGCACUGGGAACCCAAUCAGAAAAGGGCCUUUGUUUCUACCAAACACUGGUAGCUAGUGGGACAGAGAAUGAAAUACAUAACAACCACGCAUUCAGACAUCCAGUUUAACCUUAGCAACAGUGCUGUCAACCUAUACACUCACCUACCUGCAUAAGCUUUGAAUACCAGCAAUUUUCCCACCAGUUCUCUCCUAUUCAUAAAAGGCUAAAUACAGGCUCUGAAGACAUUCCUGGGGAGUCAGUGAGAGGAGGUUGAGGGUAGAUAUGGAAAACUACUACUGUGCUGCUUCUCAAAAUUUCCUGUCUUCAUUCUGGAUACAUGGAGUAAUUACACUUCUUUACCUCUUAAGGUUAGAAAUAGCCAUAGGACUUUUUUAAAAAAUAGAGUGUGAGUGCAGGUGAUGUGUAAGUGAUGUGUGCCUCCUCCAGGCAGAGGCACUUAGUUGCCACCAGAGACCCUUCGGAACUUUCUUCCUUGGCUGCUGCCAACGUGGGAGCAUGUGUUGAUGUGGAGAUAAAAAGCUGAGCCAUUACAUGGAGGAGAGGAGGCUGGAGGUGGUGGCACUAGAUGUCCAUUGCACUUUGGACAAGAUUUAAACAUUUAUUUUGAGGCUACUGACAUUUAGAAGUUGUUUAUUGCUGCACCAAAACCAAGCCUAUCGUGACCAAUUCAAGCUCCAACUUUCCCAAAGACUUGGAAUAAACAAAAGAAAUGUCUUAAUUUUUUGGCAUCAACAUUGGUGGACAAUUAUUUUGGCAGGGAACUUUAUAUUAUAUUAGAAUAAAGCAUUUUGCAAUUUUAUCACCAAAGUUUACAAUUUUUAUUAGUUUACUGUUUUAGUAAAGCAUAGCCCACAGUGCAACUAUUUACUGAAGACUGCAUGUCCAAUAAAGAUUUAAAGUAGGAUUGUGGAAUCUGAAAAAAGGACAGACUGAACUUCUUUGCAGAACAGAUGCUGACUCACAGACAUUGAAAAACUUAUGGUCUCCGGAGGAGACAGUUUGGGGGGUGGGGGGAUGUGCUUGGGCUGUGGGAUGGAAAUCCUGUGAAACUGGAUUGUUAUGAUCAUUGUACAACUACAGAUGUGAUAAAUUCAUGUGAGUAAUAAAAAAAAAAAGAAAAAAAAAGUAAGAUUGUAUCUUCAUCUUCUGCCUUGAUUUCUUUCUAAAUACUUUUGCUAUAGAUCUGGAGUUAAGAGGAUAAAUGGGCAAAAUAGUAAAUAUUUUCAGCUUUGUGCAUCAUAUGAUCUUUACUGCAACUUUUUAAUUCUGCUGUUGUAGCAAGAAAGCUUCCAUAGAUAAUACAUAAACAAAUAAGCAUGUCUAGUUACAAAAAUAAGCAGCAGGCUGAUCUUGGCCUUUGGGCCAUAGUUUUCUAAAUCUUGCUUUAGAUAAUAUUUCCAGUCUAAGUCACAUCCAUACAAUUUCAUAUUAUCAACUGUCAUUAUAGCAUCUUUGGGGACUAUAUUAAUUAAAUCAGCAUUCCAUCUGACAACUUAUCUGAUGCUCUUCACAAUCAUGAAAUAAAAUACAUACCCUAUUUAUGCUUUGGGCUCAAUAUCCUUUUUUAAAAAAUGGUCUCUUACAAUACUAGUUCUGUAGGGAUAGAUACAUAAAAAAGGAUAAACUAAAAUAAAUAUAUGUCUUUGUAGGCAAUUCAAAAUCCUGUUUUUCCCUGAUGUUACAGUUUAAAUGGACUUUUAAAAAUGGAAACAUAUUUAUUUUUGGUUCCCCAACAAAUACCAAGAAAUAAAAAUCUUAGCGAGAUAAAGGAAAGAAAGAGAUGAUAGUACUGCAGGACAGAAAAGGCUCGUGAAAUUGUUUUCAGAAAAUGAAAUCAUGAUUGACAUGAUCUAACAUCUCUCCACCAGGAGAAUGCUAGCCCAUGCCAAAUUAAGUCUCUUUUACUAGUUCAAAAUGAAAUAUCACUAAAAUGCUGCAUAUACAGGAGACUGUUAGAAAAAAAGGAGAAAGAAAGAAAAUAUGCAUAUAUACUGAAUCUCCUGGAAGGAAAAUGAAACAAUUUUACUCAUUUUAAUUUGUCUCAAAUUAAUUUCUUUUAAUGCAACAUAUUUUGAAUUACUGGGGCAAAGAAGCCAACAAGGAAGUCAGCUAUGGCAAAGUGAUUCAAACAAAGAGUAAUAUAAAUAAAUGAGUUAUGCUAAGACCCAAGGCUAUUUUUGUUUCCUGUUUCAGAUAGCAUGUGUUGGGGUGGGGAAGAUGUAUGUAUCAUACAAUAGUGCGGUGUCUCAGUGAGCACAUCUAGAACACGAAUUAAAAUCAAUUUUAUUGGCUUAUAAAAGAUGUAUGUAUGAACUUUGUCUUUUAAUGGACUUGGUUAGUUUGUUGCUGUAGUAUACUCCUGAAAAUACUGGCUGGUUGGUUUCAAAAGAAGUGGGAAAAGUUCUCUUGACUGCUUCAUUGCUCACCUGGGAUGUAUAACCAAGGACAAGACCUUAUUGAAUGGGAGGAAAAUUGAUUGAUGCCAACUGGAAUGGUUCAGGCAUGAAAUAGAUUGUAACAUGUCCCUGUGUCUCAGCAGAAUGUGGAAGUGUUUCUGCGUUCAAGUGAUUUCCCACCAGAAUGUGAAAGUGUUUCUGUGUUCAAGUGAUUUUGACUACAAUGUAACUGCCAGGUCAUUGGCACUGUCGCUGAGACACAGGACAGGACCGAACACUGAAAGUGGAGAGGCUAAGAGCGUACACAGAGACACACUCUGGAUCAGAGCUGACUCUGCCACUACGGACUCUGUGAGGUUGUGCAAAUCAUUUAAUCACUCCAAGUUUUGGCUUUCUCAACUUUUAGGCUGAGCUAUAUGAAACUGCCAAUAUUUAACUGUUUUUAAUCUACAAAAUUGACAAUUUCAUGAUUCAUCAUCUGUGGCUUCAUCAUUCUUUGGCUGUGAUUAAAUGUAAUCUUCCUAUAAACUUAUAGGGAAAGUAUAAGUGCAUUUGUAGUAUUUUUUACUUACUCUAAGUUAAAGUAUUUACUGGAAGGUAUUAUUUGUAAUAGUUAAAAUUCAUUACUUUAGUUCAUUGAUUUAUAUAGACAAAUUAGUAAUUGAUAACAUUUGCCAUUAAAGAAAUAUAAAUUGCAUUAUAGAAUAAUUUAUUUGGUUUUAUGUAUAUACUCUGUGGUCCUGGGAGCCUAAAGUUUACUUCAUCAAUGAUAGACUAUUUGCCAGUAGUCAUGCCAUCAGGCUGGACAUGUUCUAACAAUAUGCUUUGUUGAUAUAU
This 5451-nucleotide long non-coding RNA is filed under the name Sus scrofa (pig). Its description in RNAcentral is "lncRNA (ENSSSCG00030063954.1)". The record is from RNAcentral. Lineage: Eukaryota; Metazoa; Chordata; Mammalia; Artiodactyla; Suidae.